GGAAUCCACUCUGGAGUGUGCAACAACCCACCUGCCGAAAGACUCAGCCCCGAAAAUCAACGGCGCUCAACACCGAUCGCAGGCCAUGGGCGAUUCGUUAGGCGAUCCAUGCGCAUGACGGCGUGGGGUCCAUCGGGCAGCGUCGGAAUGAGCCGCGGUGAAACGAAUCCUAUAGCCGAUUUUGGUGGUAGUCGCGCAUAGUCAAAGGAGCACCUUGAAGACUGAAGUGGAGAGGGGUUCCUCUAUAUGAAGAGUUAUCGGACAUGAGUUAGUCGAUCCCAAGAGAUGGGCAACUCUGGUUCAAGUGCGACCUUGCCGCAGCCCUUCGAAGGGCA
RNAcentral lists this ribosomal RNA (335 nucleotides) under Madagascaria erythrocladioides. RNAcentral's name for it is "partial Eukaryotic large subunit ribosomal RNA". It matches the Rfam family "Eukaryotic large subunit ribosomal RNA", at positions 1263 to 1603 of the family's 3401-position model. Lineage: Eukaryota; Rhodophyta; Compsopogonophyceae; Erythropeltidales; Erythrotrichiaceae. The record is from RNAcentral.